Long non-coding RNA from Bemisia tabaci, 686 nucleotides. RefSeq lists it as uncharacterized. The record is from RefSeq and is a predicted model, not a curated record. Lineage: Eukaryota; Metazoa; Arthropoda; Insecta; Hemiptera; Aleyrodidae.
UUGAACCUGAUUGUUUCCACCUCGACCAUCAACCUUGGUUGGCGCAGCGCAGCGGCCGUAGUCCAUGUCCAUUGCGGAUUUUGCGUAAUCACUCAUAAAGAAUACUUUAGUGAAUUUAUUUUAUACGGAGGAUAAUCUCUUCCGAGUUCUUAAUGGAUUGAUGGAUUUUAAAGAUGUAAAAAGGUUCUUCCGAAGGAAUUCUGCUAGUAUAAUCUUCCCGUCAUUUUUCUUCUACUGUAUAUGGGCAGAUUGGUCACGCACCCAGAAGUGGAAACAAGGUAAAUUAACUACAGCUGUAGCAGACAUCAAGGCAAUCGAAAACGCAAAACUUUGAAAUUAAAUCCUGAAGCGCAGUCAACAAUAUUGAAUAAUGCCGCCACCACCAAGGAAACACAAUCUUUUUGGAUUUCAAUUGAAGUAUUAUAAAUACAGUUUCCCAAUCUUCUUAGCAGUUUUUGCUUGUGGGAAAUUUUUAGAUGAUAAAGAAAAAGAGAGAACUUCCAGAUUCCGAGACAAAAGUGCCAUGUUUGGUGGAAAUGUCAAGCCUGGCGACCCUCCAUCUUGGCCACACACUUUCUUUUAAGCACAUUAACCCUAGAAGUAUGUAUAGUUGAGAUACUUGAAUAAGUUUUGUUAAAUUAAUCGCAAUUUCUGUUUUGAAAAUAAACUGGAUGUGACCCUGUUCA